This 433-nucleotide long non-coding RNA is filed under the name Pan troglodytes (chimpanzee). RNAcentral describes it as "long non-coding RNA NONPTRT013130". The record is from RNAcentral. Lineage: Eukaryota; Metazoa; Chordata; Mammalia; Primates; Hominidae.
AGCUUAAUAAUCGACCUUCUAAUUCUUUUUACGGCAAUUCAGAGAUUUCCUUUUGGUUUGGAUCCACUGCUGGUGAGCUGGUAUGAAUUUUUGUUAUUAUAAGUGGAAUUCUGUUCCAUUUAUAUAUACUCAAAUUAUUAUUUACUUCAUUUCUUCAAGUGUAUGGUAUCAUUAGAAAUAUCUUUUCCAACUUGAGAUUUCUCCAUAGAAAUCUUGCAUGCUUUGUUACAGCUUCUCAUGGCUUCAUAUUUUGACUUCUCUCUGGAAUUCCUUUUGGUAUAAAACAUGAAAAGGAGAGACACAACUUUUUCUCCAAGUGAACACCAAGAUACCCUAAACCAUUUACUGGACAAGGUAUCUUUGCCCGCUGAUUAGAAAUGUCACCCUUACUAUCCUAUUGAAUUUCUCUCUGUAUUUGGAUUUAUUGCUUUUU